RNAcentral lists this ribosomal RNA (468 nucleotides) under uncultured bacterium. RNAcentral describes it as "partial 16S ribosomal RNA". It matches the Rfam family "Bacterial small subunit ribosomal RNA", at positions 28 to 507 of the family's 1533-position model. The record is from RNAcentral.
GACGAACGCUGGCGGCGUGCUUAACACAUGCAAGUCGAACGGAAAGGCCCUGCUUUUGUGGGGUGCUCGAGUGGCGAACGGGUGAGUAACACGUGAGUAACCUGCCCUUGACUUUGGGAUAACUUCAGGAAACUGGGGCUAAUACCGGAUAGUAGCUCCUGCUGCAUGGUGGGUGUUGGAAAGUUUCGGCGGUUGGGGAUGGACUCGCGGCUUAUCAGCUUGUUGGUGGGGUAGUGGCUUACCAAGGCUUUGACGGGUAGCCGGCCUGAGAGGGUGGCCGGCCACAUUGGGAAUGAGAUAAGGCCCAGACUCCUACGGGAGGCAGCAGUGGGGAAUAUUGAACAAUGGGCGGAAGCCUGAUGCAGCAACGCCGCGUGCGGGAUGACGGCCUUCGGGUUGUAAACCGCUUUCGCCUGUGACGAAGAGUGAGUGACGGUAAUGGGUAAAGAAGCACCGGCUAACUACGUG